GGUCCGUUGGUGUAGUGGCUAUCACGUCAGGUUUUGAGGAUAUCUUCAUCUUCCCUCCUGAAGGUCGUCGGUUCGACCCCGGCACGGACCU
Molecule: non-coding RNA, 91 nt
Organism: Plectosphaerella plurivora
Lineage: Eukaryota; Fungi; Ascomycota; Sordariomycetes; Glomerellales; Plectosphaerellaceae
Source: the annotation of a GenBank genome assembly